AACAUGAAGCAGACAUGCUUGAUGAAGAUGCCAUGAAGAGGGAAACAGGAAGACGGAGUUAUCUGAGAAAAGGUCUGCAUUAGGGAGAAAAUGGAGCCAUGUCUUUUCAAGAACCAGGGAACCAGACAGAUUAUUCUUCUAGCUCUGGCAUUUGAUACCUACAGAGCUCAUAUUUCAGCUUUUACCAAGGUUAUAGGAACGCCUAAAGCUGAGACCUUUGACUGCUGGAAUUGCAGAAAGGACACUGUGGAAGAAAGCAUAUUUGAAACUUCUUAGCUGAUGAUUGUUUAAACACCAUCUUCCAGCUGUUUCAUUUCUGGGUCUUUAGAAGAAAUAAACAACAUCUGCCCCUCUGUGCAUUAUUGGUUUAAAGAACUUUGUGUUUAUGAAAUAUGAUGUGCAUUAAAAAUGCAAAUUGUUUCUCACUUUGCAUUAAAAAAGAUUAAAAAUUAAUAAGAAUUCACUUACUAAUGUCAAGUCCCUUAUACAUUUUAAGUCAAAUCACAUACAUUCUUUAAUUCUUUUUUUCCCCCCUACGGAGGAAAUUAAAAUGUGAAACCUUUCUUUCCCUCCAAAUAAAGUAACUACAGGCAAGAGACCCAAGGAAAAUGACAAGCCUUUAAGCGAUAUUGAACCCUUCCUAAUGUAAACAUCUGGCCUGUCCAAAUUCAAUGAUUAAAUCUCAAGUUACGCCGAUUCAAUUGAGAUGCAGUUAUUUUAAAGUAUAUUUCUUGUAUAUUGUCUCAAUUUGCCAGAUAAGUUUGGGAAGAGACAAAAUAAAAUGGUUAGGUUUGCAUUUUGCAAAUUCACUGCAAACUCGCAUACUCCAAUUUACAGAGGAUCUGGUAGAGCUGAUUGAAGAUAUAAUUUGUUAUAUAGCAUUUCACUGUAGAAAGCAUAUACAUCCAUCAUGCUUAUGAAUUUAAAACAUGCCUUUAUUAACCUUUCAGAAGAAAUGUUUUGUGUACAAACGGAAUACUGCAUUUGAAGCAGUCCUAUCUUCUCUUAAAAUAUGAUGGGUAUUUAAACUUUCAGGGAAAAAAAGAUCCCUUUUUAGAUUAGACAAAUAUAAUUGAUGGAGGAGGUAGAAAAAUACUUAACAUUUUUGCAAGUAUACCUUCCUUACAAAGUAAGAUUUGCUUUCCUGCCAGAAUUAACCUUAUUGAGCUGUUUCCCUGUCCUGACUUUAAAAUGAAACUGUAUGUCUUCCAGAAACACAUUGGUCAUGAAUAAAACAAAACCAA
This 1244-nucleotide long non-coding RNA is filed under the name Homo sapiens (human). Its description in RNAcentral is "HSALNT0071859". Lineage: Eukaryota; Metazoa; Chordata; Mammalia; Primates; Hominidae. The record is from RNAcentral.